UCUGGUUACUGCGAUGGAGGGACGGAGAAGGCUAGGCCAGCUUGGCGUUGGUUGUCCAAGUUUAAGGUGGUAGGCUGAAAUCUUAGGUAAAUCCGGGGUUUCAAGGCCGAGAGCUGAUGACGAGUCGUCUUUUAGAUGACGAAGUGGUUGAUGCCAUGCUUCCAAGAAAAGCUUCUAAGCUUCAGGUAACCAGGAACCGUACCCCAAACCGACACAGGUGGUCGGGUAGAGAAUACCAAGGCGCUUGAGAGAACUCGGGUGAAGGAACUAGGCAAAAUGGCACCGUAACUUCGGGAGAAGGUGCGCCGGCUAGGGUGAAGGAUUUACUCCGUAAGCUCUGGCUGGUCGAAGAUACCAGGCCGCUGCGACUGUUUAUUAAAAACACAGCACUCUGCAAACACGAAAGUGGACGUAUAGGGUGUGACGCCUCCCCGGUGCCGGAAGGUUAAUUGAUGGGGUUAGCGCAAGCGAAGCCCUUGAUCGAAGCCCCGGUAAACGGCGACCGUAACCAUAACGGUCCUAAGGUAGCGAAAUUCCUUGUCGGGUGAGUUCCGACCUGCACGAAUGGCGUAACGAUGGCGGCGCUGUCUCCACCCGAGACUCAGUGAAAUUGAAAUCGCUGUGAAGAUGCAGUGUAUCCGCGGCUAGACGGAAAGACCCCGUGAACCUUUACUGUAGCUUUGCACUGGACUUUGAGCCUGCUUGUGUAGGAUAGGUGGGAGGCUUUGAAGCGUGGACGCCAGUUCGCGUGGAGCCAUCCUUGAAAUACCACCCUGGCAUGCUUGAGGUUCUAACUCUGGUCCGUAAUCCGGAUCGAGGACAGUGUAUGGUGGGCAGUUUGACUGGGGCGGUCUCCUCCUAAAGAGUAACGGAGGAGUACGAAGGUGCGCUCAGACCUGUCGGAAAUCGGUCGCAGAGUAUAAAGGCAAAAGCGCGCUUGACUGCGAGACAGACACGUCGAGCAGGUACGAAAGUAGGUCUUAGUGAUCCGGUGGUUCUGUAUGGAAGGGCCAUCGCUCAACGGAUAAAAGGUACUCCGGGGAUAACAGGCUGAUACCGCCCAAGAGUUCAUAUCGACGGCGGUGUUUGGCACCUCGAUGUCGGCUCAUCACAUCCUGGGGCUGAAGCCGGUCCCAAGGGUAUGGCUGUUCGCCAUUUAAAGUGGUACGCGAGCUGGGUUUAGAACGUCGUGAGACAGUUCGGUCCCUAUCUGCCGUGGACGUUUGAGAUUUGAGAGGGGCUGCUCCUAGUACGAGAGGACCGGAGUGGACGAACCUCUGGUGUUCCGGUUGUCACGCCAGUGGCAUUGCCGGGUAGCUAUGUUCGGAAAAGAUAACCGCUGAAAGCAUCUAAGCGGGAAACUUGCCUCAAGAUGAGAUCUCACUGGGAACUUGAUUCCCCUGAAGGGCCGUCGAAGACUACGUCGUUGAUAGGCUGGGUGUGUAAGCGUUGUGAGGCGUUGAGCUAACCAGUACUAAUUGCCCGUGAGGC
RNAcentral lists this ribosomal RNA (1491 nucleotides) under metagenome. RNAcentral describes it as "bacterial LSU rRNA". It matches the Rfam family "Bacterial large subunit ribosomal RNA", at positions 1446 to 2917 of the family's 2925-position model. The record is from RNAcentral.